RNAcentral lists this unclassified non-coding RNA (22 nucleotides) under Chlamydomonas reinhardtii. RNAcentral's name for it is "small RNA Cre_2237". Lineage: Eukaryota; Viridiplantae; Chlorophyta; Chlorophyceae; Chlamydomonadales; Chlamydomonadaceae. The record is from RNAcentral.
UACGUGCCCCGACAGCAAGCGG